GUGUCAGCAGCCGCGGUAAUACCGGCAGCCCGAGUGAUAGCCGAUCUUAUUGGGCCUAAAGCGUCCGUAGCUGGCCGCACAAGUCCAUCGGAAAAUCCACCCGCCCAACGGGUGGGCGUCCGGUGGAAACUGUGUGGCUUGGGACCGGAAGGCGCGACGGGUACGUCCGGGGUAGGAGUGAAAUCCUGUAAUCCUAGACGGACCGCCGAUGGCGAAAGCACGUCGCGAGGACGGAUCCGACAGUGAGGGACGAAAGCCAGGGUCUCGAACCGGAUUAGAAACCCUCGUAGUCC
RNAcentral lists this ribosomal RNA (293 nucleotides) under uncultured prokaryote. Its description in RNAcentral is "partial 16S ribosomal RNA". It matches the Rfam family "Archaeal small subunit ribosomal RNA", at positions 455 to 747 of the family's 1478-position model. The record is from RNAcentral.